AUUCAGUUGACGAGUCCCAGACAGGACGAAACACGUGUCCUGGAU
Molecule: non-coding RNA, 45 nt
Organism: Schistosoma haematobium
Lineage: Eukaryota; Metazoa; Platyhelminthes; Trematoda; Strigeidida; Schistosomatidae
Source: Rfam